AAGUCAAGAGUAUAAAAAAGCAGGGAACAAUUCUUUUUUUCAAUAUAUUCUUUAAAUUUCCAAGUUAUAAUUUUUAAAAUUCAAUCAUGAAAGUUUUAUCAACUUGUUUGGUAGCAGCAGUUUUAGUUAUUUGCUGGGCUACAUUAGGAGAGGCUAAAGUAACACAAAUUAAACGUAAAAUGUCGGAAACAGGACGUGGAGCAGUCGGAUAUGGAGUUUAGCGUGUAAAGAUGAGUCGUCUUAUUAAAAAUGGAACUUAAAUUUCAUAAAGAGGACACAAUUUCUUCAACAGUUAAUUGUGUAUAAUUAUUUAAAUGAAUAAAAUAAUUUAAUUAAA
Long non-coding RNA from Leptopilina boulardi, 337 nucleotides. RefSeq lists it as uncharacterized. Lineage: Eukaryota; Metazoa; Arthropoda; Insecta; Hymenoptera; Figitidae. The record is from RefSeq and is a predicted model, not a curated record. The transcript has 3 exons.